This 497-nucleotide ribosomal RNA is filed under the name uncultured bacterium. RNAcentral's name for it is "partial 16S ribosomal RNA". It matches the Rfam family "Bacterial small subunit ribosomal RNA", at positions 28 to 507 of the family's 1533-position model. The record is from RNAcentral.
GAUGAACGCUGGCGGCGUGCCUAAUACAUGCAAGUCGAGCGAACAGAUGAGGAGCUUGCUCCUCUGACGUUAGCGGCGGACGGGUGAGUAACACGUGGAUAACCUACCUAUAAGACUGGGAUAACUUCGGGAAACCGGAGCUAAUACCGGAUAAUAUAUUGAACCGCAUGGUUCAAUAGUGAAAGACGGUUUUGCUGUCACUUAUAGAUGGAUCCGCGCCGCAUUAGCUAGUUGGUAAGGUAACGGCUUACCAAGGCAACGAUGCGUAGCCGACCUGAGAGAGGGGUAGGCCACACGGGAACUGAGACGCGGUCCAGACGCCUGAGGGAGGCAGCAGUAGGGAAUCGGACGCAAUGGGGGAAAGCCUGACGGAGCAACGCCGCGUGAGUGAUGAAGGUCUUCGGAUCGUAAAACUCUGUUAUUAGGGAAGAACAAAUGUGUAAGGAACUAUGCACGUCUUGACGGUACCGAAUCAGAAAGCCACGGCUAACUACGUG